CCUACGGGUGGCAGCAGUGAGGAAUAUUGGUCAAUGGACGCAAGUCUGAACCAGCCAUGCCGCGUGCAGGAUGACGGCUCUAUGAGUUGUAAACUGCUUUUGUACGAGGGUAAACCCCGAUACGUGUAUCGGGUUGAAAGUAUCGUACGAAUAAGGAUCGGCUAACUCCGUGCCGGCAGCCGCGGUAAUACGGAGGAUCCGAGCGUUAUCCGGAUUUAUUGGGGUUAAAGGGUGCGUAGGCGGUUUGAUAAGUUAGAGGUGAAAUGUCGGGGCUCAACCCCGAAACUGCCUCUAAUACUGUUGGACUAGAGAAUAGUUGCGGUAGGCGGAAUGUAUGGUGUAGCGGUGAAAUGCUUAGAGAUCAUACAGAACACCGAUUGCGAAGGCAGCUUACUAAGCCAUAACUGACACUGAAGCACGAAAGCGUGGGGAUCAAACAGGAUUAGAUACCCUGGUAGUC
RNAcentral lists this ribosomal RNA (460 nucleotides) under uncultured bacterium. RNAcentral's name for it is "partial 16S ribosomal RNA". It matches the Rfam family "Bacterial small subunit ribosomal RNA", at positions 338 to 795 of the family's 1533-position model. The record is from RNAcentral.